RNAcentral lists this ribosomal RNA (915 nucleotides) under uncultured Stenotrophomonas sp. Its description in RNAcentral is "bacterial SSU rRNA". It matches the Rfam family "Bacterial small subunit ribosomal RNA", at positions 56 to 964 of the family's 1533-position model. The record is from RNAcentral. Lineage: Bacteria; Pseudomonadati; Pseudomonadota; Gammaproteobacteria; Lysobacterales; Lysobacteraceae.
UGCAGUCGAACGGCAGCACAGAGGAGCUUGCUCCUUGGGUGGCGAGUGGCGGACGGGUGAGGAAUACAUCGGAAUCUACUUUUUCGUGGGGGAUAACGUAGGGAAACUUACGCUAAUACCGCAUACGACCUACGGGUGAAAGCAGGGGACCUUCGGGCCUUGCGCGAUUGAAUGAGCCGAUGUCGGAUUAGCUAGUUGGCGGGGUAAAGGCCCACCAAGGCGACGAUCCGUAGCUGGUCUGAGAGGAUGAUCAGCCACACUGGAACUGAGACACGGUCCAGACUCCUACGGGAGGCAGCAGUGGGGAAUAUUGGACAAUGGGCGCAAGCCUGAUCCAGCCAUACCGCGUGGGUGAAGAAGGCCUUCGGGUUGUAAAGCCCUUUUGUUGGGAAAGAAAUCCAGCUGGCUAAUACCCGGUUGGGAUGACGGUACCCAAAGAAUAAGCACCGGCUAACUUCGUGCCAGCAGCCGCGGUAAUACGAAGGGUGCAAGCGUUACUCGGAAUUACUGGGCGUAAAGCGUGCGUAGGUGGUCGUUUAAGUCCGUUGUGAAAGCCCUGGGCUCAACCUGGGAACUGCAGUGGAUACUGGGCGACUAGAGUGUGGUAGAGGGUAGCGGAAUUCCUGGUGUAGCAGUGAAAUGCGUAGAGAUCAAGAGGAACAUCCAUGGCGAAGGCAGCUACCUGGACCAACACUGACACUGAGGCACGAAAGCGUGGGGAGCAAACAGAUUAGAUACCCUGGUAGUCCACGCCCUAAACGAUGCGAACUGGAUGUUGGGUGCAAUUUGGCACGCAGUAUCGAAGCUAACGCGUUAAGUUCGCCGCCUGGGGAGUACGUCGCAAGACUGAAACUCAAGGAAUUGACGGGGCCCGCACAAGCAGUGGAGUAUGUGGUUUAAUUCGAUGCAACGCGA